AUAAUAGGUUGAAAAAAUCCUUAUUAGGAAGAAGACUUGGACAAAUCCCCGGUCUUAUAGAAGUAGCUAGCAAGUCUAGGCACCUGAUGCAUGUGAGGGUAAGGGAAGGAAGUCUCUUUGGCACGUAUGAGUAGCUGUCACGAAUCGAAGUUUCAAAAGCCAAAAGAGAGAUUUUCCGACAAGAAAAAGGUUGGUUGAGACACGGUUCUUUGGCAUGUAUGAGUAGCUGUCACGAAUCGAAGUUCCAAAAGCCAAAAGAGAGAUUUUCCGACAAGAAAAAGGUUGGUUGAGACACGGGAUGAUAGGGCGGGCGGCCGACUUUCGGUACUUUCUGCCAACUCGAUUUCAAUACUAAGUAAGCUCCUCAUCGCAUAAGUAAGAAAGUUCAGCUACAGAGGGUAAAGAGAGGGGCGGACGAGAGUUCUAAUAAUUCUCUUCCUUCCAUACAGGUCUGCGAGCGUCCCAUCUUUUUCUUACUUGAAUGAAGAAAGACAGAACCCCUCUUUUCGGCCACAGCCAGCAGUUCGCUUUCCACUUCCGAAUACCAAAGAGCGAUUGAGAGAAGAGCAGUACGUAGGAAAGAGUUCUAAUAAUUCUCUUCCUUCCAAACAGGUCUGCGAGCGUCCCAUCUUUUUCUUACUUGAAUGAAGAAAUACAAAACCCCUCUUUUCGGCCACAGUCAGCAGUUCGCUUUCCACUUCCGAAUACCAAAGAGCGAUUGAGAGAAGAGCAGUACGUAGGACUUAAAAAGAGGGUUCCUUCCUCUCUUCACUCUCCGAAUUUCGAUCCUCACCUUUCUGGUGCCAAAGGCCUACCCUUCCACUUUACAGGAAGUUCUAAAGGAAGAGAAAAGAAA
RNAcentral lists this long non-coding RNA (856 nucleotides) under Nicotiana benthamiana. Its description in RNAcentral is "long non-coding RNA (NBEN_LNC010603)". Lineage: Eukaryota; Viridiplantae; Streptophyta; Magnoliopsida; Solanales; Solanaceae. The record is from RNAcentral.